UACGUAGGUCCCGAGCGUUGUCCGGAUUUAUUGGGCGUAAAGCGAGCGCAGGUGGUUUAUUAAGUCUGGUGUAAAAGGCAGUGGCUCAACCAUUGUAUGCAUUGGAAACUGGUAGACUUGAGUGCAGGAGAGGAGAGUGGAAUUCCAUGUGUAGCGGUGAAAUACAUAGAUAUAUGGAGGAACACCGGUGGCGAAAGCGGCUCUCUGGCCUGUAACUGACACUGAGGCUCGAAAGCGUGGGGAGCAAACAGG
Molecule: ribosomal RNA, 252 nt
Filed under: uncultured bacterium
Lineage: Bacteria
Description: partial 16S ribosomal RNA
Rfam family: Bacterial small subunit ribosomal RNA
Source: RNAcentral